CUGACUGCUAUCGGAUGAUACUAAGCCAUGCGAGUCUUUGUAGUAAUACAAGGCAGACGGCUCAGUAACACGUAGUCAACCUACCCUAUGGACAAGAAUAAUCUCGGGAAACUGGGCAUAAUUCUUGAUAGAUCAUAAUGCCUGGAAUGGUUUAUGGUUAAAAUGAUUCGUCGCCAUAGGAUGGGACUACGGCCUAUCAGCUUGUUGGUGAGGUAAUGGCCCACCAAGGCGAUUACAGGUACGGGCUCUGAGAGGAGAAGCCCGGAGAUGGGUACUGAGACACGGACCCAGGCCCUAUGGGGCGCAGCAGGCGAGAAAACUUUGCAAUGUGCGAAAGCACGACAAGGUUAAUCCGAGUGAUUUCUGCUAAAGAAAUCUUUUGCCAGUCAUAAAACCACUGGUGAAUAAGGGGUGGGCAAGUUCUGGUGUCAGCCGCCGCGGUAAAACCAGCACCUCAAGUGGUCAGGAUGAUUAUUGGGCCUAAAGCAUCCGUAGCCGGCUUUGUAAGUUUUCGGUUAAAUCCAUGUGCUCAACGCAUGGGCUGCCGAAAAUACUGCAUGGCUAGGGAGUGGGAGAGGUAGACGGUACUCAGUAGGAAGGGGUAAAAUCCUUUGAUCUAUUGAUGACCACCUGUGGCGAAGGCGGUCUACCAGAACACGUUCGACGGUGAGGGAUGAAAGCUGGGGGAGCAAACCGGAUUAGAUACCCGGGUAGUCCCAGCUGUAAACGAUGCAGACUAGAUGAUGCAUUGGCAUAAUAGCCAUUGCAGUGUCUCAGGGAAGCCGUUAAGUCUGCCGCCUGGGAAGUACGUACGCAAGUAUGAAACUUAAAGGAAUUGGCGGGGGAGCACCACAAGGGGUGAAGCCUGCGGUUCAAU
RNAcentral lists this ribosomal RNA (877 nucleotides) under uncultured marine group I thaumarchaeote. RNAcentral describes it as "SSU rRNA". It matches the Rfam family "Archaeal small subunit ribosomal RNA", at positions 23 to 906 of the family's 1478-position model. The record is from RNAcentral. Lineage: Archaea; Thermoproteati; Nitrososphaerota.